UACGUAGGGACCAAGCGUUGUUCGGAUUUACUGGGCGUAAAGGGCGCGUAGGCGGCUUAACAAGUCACUUGUGAAAUCUCCGGGCUUAACUCGGAACGGCCAAGUGAAACUGUCAAGCUAGAGUGCAGAAGGGGCAAUCGGAAUUCUUGGUGUAGCAGUGAAAUGCGUAGAUAUCAAGAGGAACACCUGAGGUGAAGGCGGGUUGCUGGGCUGACACUGACGCUGAGGCGCGAAAGCCAGGGGAGCAAACGGG
Molecule: ribosomal RNA, 253 nt
Filed under: uncultured bacterium
Lineage: Bacteria
Description: partial 16S ribosomal RNA
Rfam family: Bacterial small subunit ribosomal RNA
Source: RNAcentral